CAGAGAGUAGUUUAAGUUUUAAAAUUCUGGUUUUGGGGACCGGAGAUGAGUAGUAUUCCUCUUUGA
RNAcentral lists this transfer RNA (66 nucleotides) under Boa constrictor (boa). Its description in RNAcentral is "tRNA-Pro". Lineage: Eukaryota; Metazoa; Chordata; Lepidosauria; Squamata; Boidae. The record is from RNAcentral.